Molecule: non-coding RNA, 134 nt
Filed under: Triticum aestivum (bread wheat)
Lineage: Eukaryota; Viridiplantae; Streptophyta; Magnoliopsida; Poales; Poaceae
Description: rRNA SSU_rRNA_eukarya
Rfam family: Bacterial small subunit ribosomal RNA
Source: Rfam by way of RNAcentral
CACCGUCCGUCACACUAUAGGAGCUGGCCAUGUUUGAAGUCAUUACCCUUAACCGUAAGGAGGGGGAUGCCUAAGGCUAGGCUUGCGACUGGAGUGAAGUCGUAACAAGGUAGCCGUACUGGAAGGUGCGGCUG